AUGCACGCUGGCGGCGUGCCUAAUACAUGCAAGUCGAGCGAACAGACGAGGAGCUUGCUCCUCUGACGUUAGCGGCGGACGGGUGAGUAACACGUGGAUAACCUACCUAUAAGACUGGGAUAACUUCGGGAAACCGGAGCUACUACCGGAUAAUAUAUUGAACCGCAUGGUUCAAUAGUGAAAGACGGUUUUGCUGUCACUUAUAGAUGGAUCCGCGCCGCAUUAGCUAGUUGGUAAGGUAACGGCUUACCAAGGCAACGAUGCGUAGCCGACCUGAGAGGGUGAUCGGCCACACUGGAACUGAGACACGGCCCAGACUCCUACGGGAGGCAGCAGUAGGGAAUCUUCCGCAAUGGGCGAAAGCCUGACGGAGCAACGCCGCGUGAGUGAUGAAGGUCUUCGGAUCGUAAAACUCUGUUAUUAGGGAAGAACAAAUGUGUAAGUAACUAUGCACGUCUUGACGGUACCUAAUCAGAAAGCCACGGCUAACUACGUG
RNAcentral lists this ribosomal RNA (496 nucleotides) under uncultured bacterium. RNAcentral's name for it is "partial 16S ribosomal RNA". It matches the Rfam family "Bacterial small subunit ribosomal RNA", at positions 29 to 507 of the family's 1533-position model. The record is from RNAcentral.